Phasianus colchicus (ring-necked pheasant) is the source of this 2025-nucleotide non-coding RNA. The record is from RefSeq and is a predicted model, not a curated record. NCBI's taxonomy places the organism in Eukaryota, Metazoa, Chordata, Aves, Galliformes, Phasianidae.
GGCGCCGGGCGGGGGUCCCGGAGCGCGGCGUGAGGACGGGCAGCGCGGUGUGACGGCAGGCAGCUCGGCGCCAGGCCGCCCGCCGUUGUCCCCGAGCUCCCUCCGUGCAGCAGGGGCUCGGGAAUGCGCAGUGCGUCACGGCUUUCUGUACCGACGGGAAACCGUGCGUGGGAGCUCUAGGGAAAGCAGUGUAAAAUAAACGAGGUGAGAAUACCCUGGAAACGAGGUUGGAUUUCACAUUGUCCAUCUCACCCCACACAUCGGAUUGGGAUUUUGGUCCUCCAACCCAGUUCUCCAUGGGAUCAGAAGAGAUGGGACUCCUGGUGGACCAGGACAGAUGCAGUUUGCUUGCCCCGUUUCUAUCUCUGUUGGCACAUCACAAGAGGUUACCUGAGUGCUGCAGGAGCCUCCUGCAGGCAUAGCUGGAGUGUUUGGCUCCUGCCCCAUGUGCGUGCAAUGUGAGCACUACUGAGUUGCAGCUGAGGGCAGAAAUCUCGUGAGACACACUGAUGUCACCACUUGAACACUCUGAGAUGCUAGAGGACAGAAAGGCUUUUGCUCCUACCAAAACAGCCCCUGCUGCCCCUUUCUUUUACCAGUGGAUUUCUCUUGUAUACUGCGUUUCCCUGCUGCUGUUACUCGGGAACAGGGGAAAGGAAAUGUGAAUUCAGCUUACUGGCUGGACAAACUCUGCUGCCUGCAAACUGUGGUUGAGCAAGAUUUACCAUCCCUAGCCCUCCCCACCCUGGGUAAAUCCAGAGGCUUUAUAAUCACAGCUUUUGUCUUUGUUGUUUACUUUGUUCAAUCUUACUGUCCAGGAGAUACAACCCAGAGGGCAUGGCUUGACCUUGUAGAGCACAAGUGCAGAAGCUGAGCUCACACAGCACUGCAAAGAAAAUGAGUUGUAAGAUGGGAAAAACAGAGUGCAAGACCAUUGUGCAGAGAACUUGCUGCUGUUUGCUUGCCCCCAUUCUUUUUGCAUUUCCCAUCUCUUUCCACACAGUCAUUAGGUGAAACCUCUUGCAAAAGCCUUAUGAAACACCCUGCUGGCUUGCAGAGCAGUUAUAUGAGGCUGCAGGCAGGGCCAGGCAGCUUUGCCAGCCAGCUAUCCGAUUUGGUGGAGGUGUCUGGAGGGCAGAAGGGCUGGAGUGAGACAUCGUUAUCUGCAGUAGUGCCGGAUGGAGAGAUCCAGGUCCAGCACUCCUGCCCUCUUCUUUGCUCUUCCCACACAGCAGUGCUGUGUACUUGGCAAGCAGACCCAGAUUGAUAAAACACCUCAGAAUGAAAAUGCUGCCGUGCAGGGUACACUUGGCAGGUCUGCACUGUGUGUGCUGGAACUCAGGGCCUGCCCCGGACAAAGGUCUGUCUCAUGCAUCAUCUGUGCUAACUGGAAAGUUCUCUGCCUUGCCUGCUGAAGACUGACAGUUUAAAUGUUCAGGACCAUUGCAUGAGAGACACAAGGAUUUAGAAGGAGAUAUCUAGAAUUGUUUGAGAUGGAAGGGAUCUUUUAAGGUCACAUAGUCCAACUUGCCUGCAGUGAACACAAUGGACACCUACAGCUCCUUCCUCAAAGCCUGAUCCAGCUCUGAUCUGCUCUGCUGCUCACAUGCUCUAGGACUCUGGGUCCUUCCCAAGCUGCUUGGUGGGAUCAGGUCUCCCUGAAGACCUAGGUCUCUAUGCUCCAUCCUGCUUGGUGUCUUUUGGUCCUGCUUUAUGCUCCCUCACCACCCAGUCAAGCAGGAUUUAUGCUGGAAUGCAAGGUACAAAGGCUGUUUUACUUGGGUGCAUGGAAAUAAAGCACUACCGUGGGCCAGGCUUGUCACUAACAAAGAAAGUGGGUCCCCUGGCAAGGCCCAAGUCUCAAGGACUAUCAGUGGAAGAUAAAACUAUAGCCAUAGCUCUUCUCUUCCUCUGUCAAGGUAAGAAAUGUUUGAGCUUUAUCGCAAACACUUGAAUGCUCCCUGCACUCCCAGCCUGUCUGUUGGAAGUUCUGCUGCACCUCGGACUUCCUUCCUGCAAGAAAAG